UCAAAAUUGUUUAUUUGGAACACAACAACACAUUACAAAAACUUUAUGCACGAUGGCACCCAUAAAAGCUUAAAUAAGCUGCGGCACAGGUGCCAACGCCCGCCUCCAAACAUUAGUAGUUCCACUAAUCAAAUUUUAACAUUCAUAUAUCCAAAACAGAAACACAAAGUAAUGAUAAAAGUAAGUAAGACGAUUUACUUAUACAAAAUUAAAAAGACAAAAAUGUGCAGGUAUGUGUUUGUGAGAGAGUGUGUGAAUGUUAUGUGUGUGAGUAUGCGAGAGUGAGAUUAUGUGAGUUUGUGAGGUUGAGUGAGAAAUGUAGAAGUUUAGAUGGUGGUUUUAAUAAUUAGUUCAGUUUCAUCAUACGAGAGGGAUAGAAGCCAAUUUAGGAGUAUGGUUUUUAGCUUAUAAUGACAGAGUGGGUAAAUAUUGAGGACUUGAUUAAUUUUAUUGUAGAUUAACGAACUUAUGAAAAGAUAGUGGCGACUAGCUAUUGCUGUUCUGCGAUAUUUAAUAACGCAUACUCUGUCGUUUCUGCGCCUAGUAUUUAUAAAGUCCAAGUCAUACACAGUGUCUGAGUGCUUCCUCAGAACAACUUUGAGAAUAAACAAUUGUCUUACGGUGGGAACUUGGCAGAGAGCAUAUAAUUCGCUGGUCGGAUAGCGGAGAGGUUUGUUAACGAGAGCUUUGAGGACAGCCCGUUGGGCUCGUUCCAGUCUUAUCAUCAAAGAUUUGACACAGCCUCCCCAGGAUGUUAUACAGUAAGAGAGCAUACAGUAUCGAUCUGCUGCUUCCACGAGAACAUUUGAUCAAUUGUGACGCCCAGAUAUCUCAAGCUAGUGGCUCUUUCAAGACUUAUACAAUUGCAUUGAUCACUAGGGACGCUCUUGAGACAGUCAUGUGCGGAUAUGUUGAAACUUGAGGGAGGCAAGGAAGAAAGUUUGGGGGCAAAAGUUAUGUAUUUACUUUUAACAAUAUUAAGCGUGAGAAGGUUUUGUCGAAGCCAGUCUUGAACAAUCUUUAGAGCAUUUUCAGCAACAUUACGAACCUCCUCCCAAGUUCGGGCAUGGACAAUCAAAGCAGUAUCAUCGGCAUAAGAAAUUAUUUUACAGUUGUUAAGAGACAAAUUACACAGAUCAUUUAUGUAAAUUAGAAACAGGGUAGGUCCUAAGACGCUGCCCUGAGGUACGCCAAAAGUAACUGGUUCAAGCUCACUAACAAUAUCAUCAAUAACUACACACUGCGUACGUUCAGAAAGAUAACUACCAAAAAUAUCCAGAACAGAGCCACGAAUACCACAGCGUUCCAAUUUAGAUAUAAGAAUAGAGAUAGAGACAGUGUCGAAUGCUUUAGAGAGGUCUAAAAAAAGAGUAACAGAUUUCGUUUGUUCUUCAAAAUUAUUUAUUAUGCUAUUGGUCAAAGACAACAGAGCAUCUUCCGUGGAUAGGCCACGUCUAAAACCGAAUUGAUUUUUUGAUAGUAAAUUAUUGGUGUUAAGAAAAGUAAGGAGCCUAUUAUUUAACACUUUUUCGAAGAUUUUAGAAAUAGCUGAAAGCACAGAUAUUGGGCGGUAAUUAGAGACACCAUCUCUAUCUCCACUCUUGAAGAUCGGGUGGACAACAGCUCUCUUAAAUACAGUAGGAAAAAUGCCUUUUGAGAUGGAAAGGUUAAAAACGUAACAGAGAAUAGGAACGAGUAUAUGCCGCGCCGAUUUAAGGACAGACGUGGGUAUCCCAUCCCAGCCAACAGCACAUUUGUCUUUAAGAUUGCAAAUAAUUUUAUGGAUUUCAUCAUUGUCGAUACUCAGUAGUACCAUCGAAUUUAUAGAAGAUUGAGAAGAGUUUUGUGGAAAAGCCUCAGGGGUAUUACAAUAAUUUGAGGAAGCACUCCGAGUACUGUGAAUAAUUUUAUAAGCCAUAUCUUUACCCACAUUAGCAAAAUAAUUAUUGACGGCAUUGACAGAUGACUUUUUACAGGUGAACCGAUUCAGUAAAUUACUUGCAUAAGA
Molecule: long non-coding RNA, 2008 nt
Organism: Colias croceus (clouded yellow)
Lineage: Eukaryota; Metazoa; Arthropoda; Insecta; Lepidoptera; Pieridae
Exons: 2
Source: RefSeq, a predicted model, not a curated record